Molecule: long non-coding RNA, 218 nt
Filed under: Homo sapiens (human)
Lineage: Eukaryota; Metazoa; Chordata; Mammalia; Primates; Hominidae
Description: LHRI_LNC832.1
Source: RNAcentral
CUCAUGUCUGAAGUGAAGGGAGGUUGCAGUUGGUCCUAAUUCAGCCUGGUUCAAAGUGAGGUCCUCGCUCACCUACCUCUGUAUCUGUGUGUGUGUGUGUGUAUGUGUGUGUGUGUAGGUUAUUAAAAUACAGAUCCUUGAGUCAGAAUUUUUGCUGAUUGACAUGGUAACGUACAUUUAUAACAAACUUCCCUUGAUAAUUCUGAUGCAUGCUAGAG